Rosa chinensis is the source of this 361-nucleotide long non-coding RNA. RefSeq lists it as uncharacterized. The transcript is spliced from 4 exons. NCBI's taxonomy places the organism in Eukaryota, Viridiplantae, Streptophyta, Magnoliopsida, Rosales, Rosaceae. The record is from RefSeq and is a predicted model, not a curated record.
GAGGUUGGAAGCCAACUUGGAGAUGGAAUUGCAACUGGGUUUUCGACACAAAAGAGUUCCCCAACAUAAAGCUUGCAAUCAGCUUCAUCCUCCUAUUCCGUGAAGAGAAAUUGGUGAUUUCGAUGAGAGAAUUGGCCUAGGCUCACGGUGAUUUGUACCGGGUACAAAUCAAGUACAGGAGCUGUGGUGUCACAAAUUUCAGAGUUCCAGAAAUUGAUUCGACGGUACCAGGCGAGGACAGCAGCUGCAGUCAGGACUCUAGAGCUUCAAUUUGAAGGUGAGUCUCUGUCUACUUAGACUUUGUUCAUAUUUUUUGUGUUAUUUGAGUUGGUGCUUUAAAGGCAGGUCCCUUUUAAUUUGA